CCUACGGGUGGCAGCAGUGGGGAAUAUUGCGCAAUGGGCGAAAGCCUGACGCAGCGACGCCGCGUGAGGGAUGAAGGUCUUCGGAUCGUAAACCUCUGUCAGCAGGGAAGAACGGUCACUGUGCUAAUCAGCAGUGCAUUGACGGUACCUGCAAAGGAAGCACCGGCUAACUCCGUGCCAGCAGCCGCGGUAAUACGGAGGGUGCGAGCGUUAAUCGGAAUUACUGGGCGUAAAGCGCUCGUAGGCGGUAUGUCAAGUCAAGUGUGAAAUCCCCGGGCUCAACGUGGGAACUGCCUUUGAAACUGGCAAACUGGAGUGUGUGAGAGGGUAGUAGAAUUCCAGGUGUAGGAGUGAAAUCCGUAGAGAUCUGGAGGAACAUCAGUGGCGAAGGCGACUAUCUGGAACAUAACUGACGCUGAGGAGCGAAAGCGUGGGUAGCAAACAGGAUUAGAUACCCCAGUAGUC
RNAcentral lists this ribosomal RNA (465 nucleotides) under uncultured bacterium. RNAcentral describes it as "partial 16S ribosomal RNA". It matches the Rfam family "Bacterial small subunit ribosomal RNA", at positions 338 to 795 of the family's 1533-position model. The record is from RNAcentral.